AUUCCAGCUCCAAUAGCGUAUAUUAAAGUUGUUGCAGUUAAAAAGCUCGUAGUUGAACUUCGGAACCGGUCGAUUGGUCCGUCCUCUGGAUUGUGUACUGAUCGAUCUGUUCUUCUUCGCGAAGACCGCGUGUGCCCUUAACUGGGUGUGCACGGGAUUCACGACGUUUACUUUGAAAAAAUUAGAGUGUUCAAAGCAGGCAUUCGCUUGAAUAUCUCAGCAUGGAAUAAUAGAAUAGGACUUUGGUCUUAUUUUGUUGGUUUCCGAGACCGAAGUAAUGAUUAAUAGGGACAGUUGGGGGCAUUCGUAUUUCAUUGUCAGAGGUGAAAUUCUUGGGUUUAUGAAAGACGAACUUCUGCGAAAGCAUUUGCCAAGGAUGUUUUCAUCG
RNAcentral lists this ribosomal RNA (388 nucleotides) under Ctenophora sp. (in: diatoms). RNAcentral's name for it is "Ctenophora sp. (in: Bacillariophyta) partial small subunit ribosomal RNA". It matches the Rfam family "Eukaryotic small subunit ribosomal RNA", at positions 582 to 975 of the family's 1831-position model. The record is from RNAcentral. Lineage: Eukaryota; Bacillariophyta; Fragilariophyceae; Fragilariales; Fragilariaceae.